RNAcentral lists this long non-coding RNA (1085 nucleotides) under Eucalyptus grandis. RNAcentral's name for it is "long non-coding RNA (EGRA_LNC002278)". The record is from RNAcentral. Lineage: Eukaryota; Viridiplantae; Streptophyta; Magnoliopsida; Myrtales; Myrtaceae.
AAACCUAAUCUUAAUUCAACAUUUUUUGGAUUUUUUUAUUUAAAACUCGAGAUAAGAUUGCAAUUUUAACCCUAAAUCAGCAAAUCUAAUCCUAACUCAAAUAUUUUUUGGAUUUUUCUUUUAUGAAAAUAAGACUGACUCAACCAACAGCGAAUCAAAUAAGAUAAGAUUGAUAUCUAAAAAUUGACGAACCAUAUCUCGCGCAUGAGAUCGGGUUGUCCAAUUUUAAAUUAAAUCGCAAAUCAAAUCUCGGGCUUGAGAUUGGAUUGUCGAUUUUUAUAAGGGAUUGCGAGUCGGAUUUCGGGCGCGAAAAUCGGACUGUCAAUCCCUAGCUUGAGGGGCACUUUCAUAUUGGGAUCUCAAUCACAUAUUUAAAGAGAACAAUUUCACUAAAAGAAUAAAAUAAAAAGGAAAGAAAAAGAAAACAGUAAGUAAGUAAAUAAAUAAAUAAAAACUACCUAAUUUUCCCUUUUCCUUCCAAGCUUCGUGUUCGUGGCAAGUCACCAAAGCAGAGGAUCGGAGGUCCGGCAGGGGAAACUUCGGCAAAGGCAGUGGCUGUGUGGUGGGUCACCGUCAAAGGAAGUCACGGUGGUCGGAGCUCCGGCGAAGGGACUCGGUGGCUGGUGGACACAGCUGCAGCAGCUGGUCACAGGUGCUACAGCGGCGUCGCUCGGACAGGGAGCAAGCUCGGAACGGCGUGCAGGGGCGGAGACCGACUCGGCGGAGGGCUGCUACAGGCGUCGUGGGUCGUCGCAAGGACUUGGGUGGCAGCAGGCCGCCGGGAUCGCGAGAUCUGGACAGUGGGCCACGAGCAGAGGACUCCGGGUCGCGGCACGGCAGAGCAACUCAAGUGUCAGUACUUGGGCAGCAAGAGCGUCGGAUUGCUAGGCCUCGGGGCAACGGCACGGCGUCGGCUGGGCGUCAGGCGGAGGCGAGCAGGGACGCCGGGACUUCUGGUGCUGCAGAUUGGCGACGGUAAGGCGAAGCAAAGGCGUUCGGGUCGCGGAAGCGGCUGGUGUCGCGGUGGCGCGGAGGUGCUUCGGUGUAGAGUUGCAGGAGCGGUGAGUGGGGCGGAGGUGCUUUGG